This 468-nucleotide ribosomal RNA is filed under the name uncultured bacterium. RNAcentral describes it as "partial 16S ribosomal RNA". It matches the Rfam family "Bacterial small subunit ribosomal RNA", at positions 28 to 507 of the family's 1533-position model. The record is from RNAcentral.
GACGAACGCUGGCGGCGUGCUUAACACAUGCAAGUCGAACGGAAAGGCCCUGCUUUUGUGGGGUGCUCGAGUGGCGAAUGGGUGAGUAACACGUGAGUAACCUGCCCUUGACUUUGGGAUAACUUCAGGAAACUGGGGCUAAUACCGGAUAGGAGCUCCUGCUGCAUGGUGGGGGUUGGAAAGUGUCGGCGGUUGGGGAUGGACUCGCGGCUUAUCAGCUUGUUGGUGGGGUAGUGGCUUACCAAGGCUUUGACGGGUAGCCGGCCUGAGAGGGUGACCGGCCACAUUGGGACUGAGAUACGGCCCAGACUCCUACGGGAGGCAGCAGUGGGGAAUAUUGCACAAUGGGCGGAAGCCUGAUGCAGCAACGCCGCGUGCGGGAUGACGGCCUUCGGGUUGUAAACCGCUUUCGCCUGUGACGAAGCGUGAGUGACGGUAAUGGGUAAAGAAGCACCGGCUAACUACGUG